Molecule: non-coding RNA, 4519 nt
Organism: Ictidomys tridecemlineatus (thirteen-lined ground squirrel)
Lineage: Eukaryota; Metazoa; Chordata; Mammalia; Rodentia; Sciuridae
Source: RefSeq, a predicted model, not a curated record
UUUUUUUAUUUUGAUACAGGGUCUAAGUUGCCCAGGCUGGCUUCAAACUUGUGAUCCUCCUCCUGCCUUAGCCUCCCAAGUACCUGGGAUUACAGGCAUGGUAGUUUUUAUAUAUCCUUAUUGGCAGGGCUGGUUUUGUGGCUCAGUGUUAGAGAACUUGCCUAGCCAUGUGUAAGCCACUGGGUUCAAUUCUCAGCACCAUAUAUAAAUAAGUAAGAGGUUUAAAAAACAAAGAGAAAGAAGAAAAGAAAAAGAAAAAAAAGCCCUUAUUGGCAAAGUAAAAAGCUGGCAAUCCAACAUCAGUCCUCAACUCCCUUCCAACCCCUGUAUCCUGGUGAAUGGUGAACGUUAAGAUCUCUGAAAUACAGAGUCCAGGUUUCACUGCUCCAAACUAAGCAACCCUACUUUUUCUCCCCCAAAACUAAAACUGGAACUUUUGAGUUGGAGGUCCUAUCUUCAUCUCAAUUCUUAAGAUAACCUGGAUAAACCACCCCCCAAAACUGAAAACCUGAAGGGAAGUCUUCUGAGUAGGAAAUUCUUCCAAAUAGAUCUCAAACUGGUUAUGUCUGAACUAAGCUAUGUGAGGAAAUCAGGUUUCAAAGAGUAAAGGCCAGGAGGGAGAAUGUGGAGUUGCUGUUAGGAAGCCUAAGAAAAUGGUUUAGUACUCAUAAAUCAAGUCCCUAAAUAGUCUUCUACUUUACCGGUAAUGACCACUCCUUUUGUCCUCUGGCCAAUGGUGUGGAGAGAGUUAAAGCAACUUUAACCACCCUUCCCAGGCUUAAGAAGAAUGACAGAAUUCCAUGAACUCCAUUCUUUGAAAGGAAUGGCUGUGGUGUGGUAAGAGCAUGUAGAGCCCUCUUACCUGCCUGAACUUGGUUUUCCCAGACUCAAAAGAAAAUUUAAAUAGAUCAUCUUUAAAGUCUCUUCCAGCUUUAUGACUAUAAAGCUGCAUUUUCCUGCUAACAGGGCAGAACUAGGUCUUAAAAAGCAGAGACUUGUUUUGGCUCCAUCCCAGGGAGAGAGAAUUCAUCUGGGCGGCUUCCUGAGGCUCUUGGAAAGGUAAAUAAAGACUGGAGUUGAGGGGCUGGGCUAAUGCCAGCCAGGAACGAAAGAGACCACAGCCUGAGAGGCCACCUUUCCCUUCUCUGGGAGGGUGGGGGAUGGAAAACCAGUAUGGAGCCAUACGGCUUCCGGCUCCAAAGCCUGGCCGGGCUCAGAGCUCUUUCUGGCAGAAACUUUGCCCUGCGUUCCAGCAGGCCUCCGCGAUCAGGAUGCUCAUGUGUUUCUCCCCUUAUCCCCUCUGUGAGGGCCUCUCCGAGGGGAAGGCACAACUCCCUGUUGCCCACCCCGCACCCUCCCCCCCUCUUUUUUUUUUUAAUAAAAUCACAACUCAAAUUUGGCUAUUUUUCUCCGUCCGGAGGCCCCGCCAAAACUUUCAGCGCGUUCCGCCCACUCCACGUGGACCUCCCUUCCUUGUCCCAGCAGCCCCUGCGAGAACCCCCACCCCCAACACGUGAUCAAUUGUUAUGUUUCCUGCCUGGGGCCUCCUUUUAGCUGGCACCACCUUAACAACCGAACAGAAGUGCCCCCUUCAGGAUGAUUGUGGGGCAGCAUCCUGUGGGGUUGUUGAGGGCUGGAGUAUAAUAGAGGAAUGCAACUGCCUGGGCGUAAAGAUUUCAUAUCCUCACAGUUUCCUGGCCAAUCAAAGAAUUACACAACUAAAAGAUGGGACAGACAAUGAGUGUCUCUCAGUGGUAGACAGCAUGCUGCUGAAGCACUGGGUUCAAUCCCCAGCAUUCCUCCUCUCGACCCCAACCUCCAGAAAAAGAGACAGGUUUGAGAGAAGGGAUAGCAAAGAAAACAAGACUGGAAUGGAGUUGGGUAAAGUUUUUAAUUCCCUAACUGUAAGUUGGUUACCGUUACUCUAACUCCAUUUCCCCUAGAGUUCUUCAUGUUGUUGGCAGAGAGCUCAGAUCCUCCCAUACCAGACAAGAGCCAAGAGUUCCCUAAUUAUGGGCUGAUACAGGGCCUUUCCUGGGGUGGGUGAGCUGGUCCUGGCCAACAUCACCACCCCCUUCCUUAAGAAGUUAUCUCCGUGUAGAUGACAGAUUACUUCUAAAACAGUGUCUCUCCCUCUUCCAGUAUUGGGGAACAUUUGCCCUGGAAGGAAAGAGCAGGCAGGAGAUAGUGUUAGAGGAAGGAGUGGACUAGGCAGCAAAAAUUAAUCCAGUGGGAGUGUAUAGAACAAGGGAGCUAACCAGGAAAAGCUGUAAAAUAGGUCAAAUGAAGCCAAAAAGAGGGAAUGAGUUUGCUUAGGAAAAAUUUUGACAUAGACUUUGUCCAUUUUCACCCUACAAGAGAUAUGGAGUUAAAGAGUUGUAUAAGGAGUUGGGGGUUAUGGAACAUGCUGAAAGGAAUUGUGAUGCUCUGGGAGGGGGAAAAGUAGGGUAUAAGUCGAGUGGGGAGGGAAGGAUAAAUUUAAACUCGGAAUUAUCAUGGGGCCAUUUGUCCUCCAACGUCACAGGGGUCAUGAAUAGCAGAUGGCCCAAGAGCUACAAGCCUUGGAGCCCACAGAGGGAGAACUCAUGGUAGACAAACAGCACAUUAACUAGGGGCAUGUUAAGGAGCAAUGCAUGGAAAGGAAUGGGAGGAUUCCCAAGGCACCGACUUUCUUUUUUUUUUUUUUUUUUUAAUAUUUAUUUUUUAGUUUUCAGCGGACACAACAUCUUUGUAUGUGGUGGUGAGGAUCAAACCGCACGCCAGGCGAGCGCGCUACUGCUUGAGCCAUAUCCCCAGCCCCAAGGCACCGACUUUCAAUGGAGACAGCCCCCAAAAGAUCAAGAUAGAAGACUGAGGACUCUGACCGGGACACUUGCUCUCCUAUAACUCAGCAUCUGUCAGCGCUCCCAUUACCAGGUUCCAAAGUGAUGCUGGCCCUGCUGCUGAUGCUGAGAAUAAUGGUCUUAGAGAAUUCCAGCCCCUUACUUCAAUGUUCACCCAAGAGAGUCCCAAUUUUAUAUAACUCAGGAGGACAGAAUUGCAGCAACGGAGCAUUAGGAAUUUCCUGUGGCGAGGCAGCGCCAGUACCGGGAGGGGUGGAGGCAAUGCUGAGCGAUCGACCGCCUUCCCUUGGCUCGGGCAGGGCCACGUGCCCCACCCCCUCGCUUGCACAUGUCUCCGCCGCCACCACCGCAGCAGCCGGGCUGUUUAUGAGCGAGUUGUUGUGGUAGAAAUGGAGCAGGCUGCACAUGCCCGGGCCAUGUGACCCCGGCAGCCCGCGUGAGCCUCCAGCCUGCACAAACACACUUGGUCCUGUCCUCCAGCGGCCGGAGGAACGGGAGGCAAGAGUGAAAGGGCACUGGGCUCCCUUGUCUCCUGGCCCUAUAUCCUGCUUCUGCCCUUUUGUCUCUCCUGAGCUACCAGGGAACAAACACCAGCAAGGAAACAUGGUUUCUCCAGGCAUAUUCUCCUCCAGGCUGUCCCUUGGCAUUUUAUACCACCCAAAGUCCUAACCCCCCAAAGAACAAAGGGCCUCCCCCAACUGAGAGCACAGAAUCUCCCUCCCCAGCCCCUCCUGUUGAUGUGCUGAUGGAAGCCCAGAGCCAAGACUUGCUUUGCUUGCAGCCUGGGCUCCUCAAAUCAGGCUAUUCUGUCCCUUCUUUCUAGGAAGAAGGAUGCCACUUGUGCAUGCAGCUAGUGCCUGCUCUCGGAUUAGAACAAGGAGAAUUUAGGGAUUUGUGGGAUAAGGGACUUGGUACAAAGUUCCUUUCUGUAGCAGUGGUCUGUCAGAGGACAGGAAGGGGGUGAGGAGGACCCAAAGGUGGGUUAUGGGUAAGUGGGGGAGAACUGGAAGGACUUUUGCACAGAUUCUUGUCCAGUUGGAGAACAAGUAAGUGUGCAAAAGAUCACUUCAACUUCCACCCAUCACUUAAGUGUCUCCUCCCCCACACUUUAAUCCCAGACCCCCACUUUAGUCCUCUGUUCCCACCGGUGGCCUGUGACCCUCAUUCUGAGCAGCAGUGCUCUUGCUGGGAUGGGAGACUGUGCUGGAGUCAGGCGGACAGUAGGUUAGCAGGAACAAGCAAAUGAAAUGAGCACGACCCACAUUUCCUCAUCGCACCAAAACUUCAGAGAUCCUGCAUUGCAGAGCUAGCGCUUUUUUUUUUUUUUUUAAAUCUCUGCUGGGCCCCUACACACGUCUGCAUUUUUGCAACCAGCACAGAUUUUUUUUUUCCAGGGUGCAAACUGUGCAUUCUAAUGAGCCAAAGCUCCUUCCUGCGGCAUUGAAAAUCUCUCUGGCAAAUUGCUUCUUCCUCCCUCCCCCCUAAUUUAGAAGAGCAAGAAAGAUCCCAAAUUUAUGAAGUUGCAUCCUCUCCCUCUCCUUCCCCUGCCUCCCUCCCCCAAGAUUCUGCAGUCCUUCCAGCCCAAGGAACAGCUGCAGAUCAGGGGAGAGGGGCAGGAGGAAGGAAAGUGAGCCUUGUUCCAUGUUUCCAAGCAGGCUGAGCUGGCUGGUGGGGCA